RNAcentral lists this ribosomal RNA (506 nucleotides) under uncultured bacterium. RNAcentral's name for it is "partial 16S ribosomal RNA". It matches the Rfam family "Bacterial small subunit ribosomal RNA", at positions 30 to 523 of the family's 1533-position model. The record is from RNAcentral.
AUUGAACGCUGGCGGCAGGCCUAACACAUGCAAGUCGAACGGUAGCAGGAAGAAGCUUGCUUCUUUGCUGACGAGUGGCGGACGGGUGAGUAAUGUCUGGGAAACUGCCUGAUGGAGGGGGAUAACUACUGGAAACGGUAGCUAAUACCGCAUAACGUCGCAAGACCAAAGAGGGGGACCUUCGGGCCUCUUGCCAUCAGAUGUGCCCAGAUGGGAUUAGCUAGUAGGUGGGGUAACGGCUCACCUAGGCGACGAUCCCUAGCUGGUCUGAGAGGAUGACCAGCCACACUGGAACUGAGACACGGUCCAGACUCCUACGGGAGGCAGCAGUGGGGAAUAUUGCACAAUGGGCGCAAGCCUGAUGCAGCCAUGCCGCGUGUGUGAAGAAGGCCUUCGGGUUGUAAAGCACUUUCAGCGGGGAGGAAGGGGGAAUGGUUAAUAACCAUUGCCAUUGACGUUACCCGCAGAAGAAGCACCGGCUAACUCCGUGCCAGCCGCCGCCGUAA